UACACCAUUUUUGGCGCUAAAACUUGUGUCCUCUCCAACCAUAACACCAAAAAUCACACUAAAAGAAUAAUCUAUUAU
RNAcentral lists this small RNA (78 nucleotides) under Arabidopsis thaliana (thale cress). RNAcentral's name for it is "ATSL094970". Lineage: Eukaryota; Viridiplantae; Streptophyta; Magnoliopsida; Brassicales; Brassicaceae. The record is from RNAcentral.